RNAcentral lists this ribosomal RNA (693 nucleotides) under uncultured Staphylococcus sp. Its description in RNAcentral is "bacterial SSU rRNA". It matches the Rfam family "Bacterial small subunit ribosomal RNA", at positions 57 to 732 of the family's 1533-position model. Lineage: Bacteria; Bacillati; Bacillota; Bacilli; Caryophanales; Staphylococcaceae. The record is from RNAcentral.
GCAAGUCGAGCGAACAGACGAGGAGCUUGCUCCUCUGACGUUAGCGGCGGACGGGUGGGUAACACGUGGAUAACCUACCUAUAAGACUGGGAUAACUUCGGGAAACUGGAGCUAAUACCGGAUAAUAUAUUGAACCGCAUGGUUCAAUAGUGAAAGACGGUUUUGCUGUCACUUAUAGAUGGAUCCGCGCCGCAUUAGCUAGUUGGUAAGGUAACGGCUUACCAAGGCAACGAUGCGUAGCCGACCUGAGAGGGUGAUCGGCCACACUGGAACUGAGACACGGUCCAGACUCCUACGGGAGGCAGCAGUAGGGAAUCUUCCGCAAUGGGCGAAAGCCUGACGGAGCAACGCCGCGUGAGUGAUGAAGGUCUUCGGAUCGUAAAACUCUGUUAUUAGGGAAGAAUAAAUGUGUAAGUAACUAUGCACGUCUUGACGGUACCUAAUCAGAAAGCCACGGCUAACUACGUGCCAGCAGCCGCGGUAAUACGUAGGUGGCAAGCGUUAUCCGGAAUUAUUGGGCGUAAAGCGCGCGUAGGCGGUUUUUUAAGUCUGAUGUGAAAGCCCACGGCUCAACCGUGGAGGGUCAUUGGAAACUGGAAAACUUGAGUGCAGAAGAGGAAAGUGGAAUUCCAUGUGUAGCGGUGAAAUGCGCAGAGAUAUGGAGGAACACCAGUGGCGAAGGCGACUUUCUGG